Molecule: ribosomal RNA, 255 nt
Filed under: uncultured bacterium
Lineage: Bacteria
Description: partial 16S ribosomal RNA
Rfam family: Bacterial small subunit ribosomal RNA
Source: RNAcentral
UACGUAGGGUCCGAGCGUUGUCCGGAAUUAUUGGGCGUAAAGGGCUCGUAGGCGGUUUGUCACGUCGGGAGUGAAAACUCAGGGCUUAACCCUGAGCGUGCUUCCGAUACGGGGCUGACUAGAGGGAUGCAGGGGAGAACGGAAUUCCUGGUGUAGCGGUGGGAAUGCGCAGAUAUCAGGAGGAACACCGGUGGCGAAGGCGGUUCUCUGGGCAUUUCCUGACGCUGGAGGAGCGAAAGCAUGGGGAGCAACAGG